Molecule: ribosomal RNA, 514 nt
Filed under: uncultured bacterium
Lineage: Bacteria
Description: bacterial SSU rRNA
Rfam family: Bacterial small subunit ribosomal RNA
Source: RNAcentral
AAUCAACGCUGGCGGCGUGCCUCAGACAUGCAAGUCGAACGCGAAAGCCCCCUUCGGGGGGCAAGUAGAGUGGCGCACGGGUGAGUAACACGUAGGUAAUCUACCUUUGGAUGGGGAAUAACAACCGGAAACGGUUGCUAAUACCGCAUAAUGCAGCGGCACCUAAUGGUGACAGUUGUUAAAGCGGGGGAUCGCAAGACCUCGCGUCUGAAGAGGAGCCUGCGGCAGAUUAGCUAGUUGGUAAGGUAACGGCUUACCAAGGCGGUGAUCUGUAGCCGGCCUGAGAGGGCGGUCGGCCACACUGACACUGACAUACGGGUCAGACUCCUACGGGAGGCAGCAGUCGGGAAUUUUGGGCAAUGGGCGAAAGCCUGACCCAGCAACGCCGCGUGAAGGAUGAAAUCCCUCGGGAUGUAAACUUCGCAAGAACGGGAAGAAUAAGUAAGAGCUAAUAACUUUUACGAUGACGGUACUGUUUGUAAGCUCCGGCUAACUCCGUGCCAGCAGCCGCGGU